Molecule: long non-coding RNA, 904 nt
Organism: Saccostrea cuccullata (small rock oyster)
Lineage: Eukaryota; Metazoa; Mollusca; Bivalvia; Ostreida; Ostreidae
Exons: 4
Source: RefSeq, a predicted model, not a curated record
CUAUUAUUUCAGGUCUAUUUUAAAAUUUUGUUAGUAUUUUAUAGUUGGACAAUUCACUAAAGAAGAAGAGAAAUAAGCCAAAUUCUAAACCAUCAUCUAUAAGCACAUGCACCCAACUGACGUUGGUGGAAAAGCAGAUGCACUCCACUUGACUUGGUGGAAACAGCAGAUGCGCCCAACUAGCCUUUGUGGAAACAGCAGAUACACUCCACUGGGCUUGGUGGAAACAGCAGAUGCACUCCACUGGACUUGGUGGAAACAGAAGAUGCACCCAACUGGACUUGGUGGAUACAGAAGAUGGACCCAACAGGACAUGAUGGAUACAACUGGAGGAGACUUGCCUGAUGAUGUUGACCUUCCAAACAAGACAUAUCAAACGAGAUAAUGACACUGAUCAGCUCUACUGGUCAGUGACAAGAAAGCUUGUGAUCGUAAACAAGGGCAUGACAUGGUGGAAACAGCUGGAGGAGACAGGGCCAUUGGAUGCUAAUCUUCCAAGAUGUGGAAACAGCAGAUUCCUCAACAAGACAUGUGUUACAGCAGAAGCAUCCAACUGGACAUGGAUAGAAACAACUUGAUGAUGCAUAGCUAGUACUUGCUGAUCGUCCAAGAUGUGGAAACAGCAAAUGCGCCCAACAGUUCAUGGUGAAAACAGUAGAUGAACCCAAAAGGACCUGAUAGAAACAACUGGAGGAGGAAUAGCCAAAGGAUGCUGAUCUGACAUUUAUCAGCUGCAGCCAACAGAACCUUGUGGAAACAACUGGAAUAGACAAGCUUGAUGAACCUCUUUUAAGAUGGGAAAACAAUGAUUUUCCAAUAUGCGAAAACACCAGCUACACCCAAAAGGAAUUGGUGGAAAGAUGAGAAAACAGCAAAUUCUUCUAAAAAGACUUAGUGAAAUAAA